This 477-nucleotide ribosomal RNA is filed under the name uncultured bacterium. RNAcentral describes it as "partial 16S ribosomal RNA". It matches the Rfam family "Bacterial small subunit ribosomal RNA", at positions 28 to 507 of the family's 1533-position model. The record is from RNAcentral.
GAUGAACGCUGGCGGCGUGCAUAACACAUGCAAGUCGAACGAUGAAACUUAAAUGAUCUCUUAGGCGUGAUUCUAAGUGGUUUAUUGGCGGACGGGUGAGUACCGCUUGAGUCACCUGCCUUAGAGAAGAGUAUAUCUUUUGGAAACGAAGAAUAAUACCCUAUGAUAUAAAUCCUAAGCAUGUUGAGUUGGGCAAAGAUUUAUCGCUCGAAGAUGGACUUGCGUCUGAUUAGUUAGUUGGAGAGGUAACGGCCCACCAAGACGGCGAUCAGUAGCCGGCUUGAGAGAGUGUACGGCCACAUUGGGACUGAGACACGGCCCAGACUCCUACGGGAGGCAGCAGUGGGGAAUUUUGCACAAUGGGGGAAACCCUGAUGCAGCGACGCCGCGUGAUUUAGAAGGCCUUCGGGUUGUAAAAAUCUUUUCUAUGGGAAGAAAAUGACAGUACCAUAGGAAUAAGGACCGGCUAAUUACGUG